Molecule: non-coding RNA, 99 nt
Organism: Acanthosepion pharaonis
Lineage: Eukaryota; Metazoa; Mollusca; Cephalopoda; Sepiida; Sepiidae
Source: the annotation of a GenBank genome assembly
CAUUGAAACAGCGGUUCCCGUACGAUCGCCGAAGUUAAGCAACGUCGAACCUGGUCAGUACCUAUAUGGGCGACCGCUUAGGAAUAUCAGGUGUUAUAA